RNAcentral lists this ribosomal RNA (253 nucleotides) under uncultured Mucilaginibacter sp. RNAcentral's name for it is "partial 16S ribosomal RNA". It matches the Rfam family "Bacterial small subunit ribosomal RNA", at positions 524 to 776 of the family's 1533-position model. The record is from RNAcentral. Lineage: Bacteria; Pseudomonadati; Bacteroidota; Sphingobacteriia; Sphingobacteriales; Sphingobacteriaceae.
UACGGAGGAUCCGAGCGUUAUCCGGAUUUAUUGGGUUUAAAGGGUGCGUAGGCGGCCAUUUAAGUCAGGGGUGAAAGACGGUAGCUCAACUAUCGCAGUGCCUUUGAUACUGAAUGGCUUGAGUGUACUUGAGGUAGGCGGAAUGUGACAAGUAGCGGUGAAAUGCAUAGAUAUGUCACAGAGCACCAAUUGCGAAGGCAGCUUACUAAAGUAUGAUUGACGCUGAGGCACGAAAGCGUGGGGAUCAAACAGG